CCUACGGGAGGCAGCAGUGGGGAAUAUUGCACAAUGGGCGAAAGCCUGAUGCAGCGACGCCGCGUGAGGGAUGACGGCCUUCGGGUUGUAAACCUCUUUCAGCAGGGAAAGAAGCGAAAGUGACGGUACCUGCAGAAGAAGCGCCGGCUAACUACGUGCCAGCAGCCGCGGUAAUACGUAGGGCGCAAGCGUUGUCCGGAAUUAUUGGGCGUAAAGAGCUCGUAGGCGGCUUGUUGCGUCGGUUGUGAAAGCCCGGGGCUUAACCCCGGGUCUGCAGUCGAUACGGGCAGGCUAGAGUGUGGUAGGGGAGAUCGGAAUUCCUGGUGUAGCGGUGAAAUGCGCAGAUAUCAGGAGGAACACCGGUGGCGAAGGCGGAUCUCUGGGCCAUUACUGACGCUGAGGAGCGAAAGCGUGGGGAGCGAACAGGAUUAGAUACCCUGGUAGUCCACGCCGUAAACGUUGGGAACUAGGUGUUGGCGACAUUCCACGUCGUCGGUGCCGCAGCUAACGCAUUAAGUUCCCGCCUGGGGAGUACGGCCGCAAAGGCUAAAAACUCCAAAAGUAGUAAGUUAGGACCGUUCGUUAGAGUUACGUUCGAACCGGACGGACCGACCACGGGAGGGUUAAGGAGG
This 632-nucleotide ribosomal RNA is filed under the name uncultured bacterium. RNAcentral's name for it is "bacterial SSU rRNA". It matches the Rfam family "Bacterial small subunit ribosomal RNA", at positions 338 to 1533 of the family's 1533-position model. The record is from RNAcentral.